RNAcentral lists this microRNA (21 nucleotides) under Oreochromis niloticus (Nile tilapia). RNAcentral's name for it is "oni-miR-10617". The record is from miRBase by way of RNAcentral. Lineage: Eukaryota; Metazoa; Chordata; Actinopteri; Cichliformes; Cichlidae.
UGUGACAUGUGUUAUAUCUGU